RNAcentral lists this ribosomal RNA (474 nucleotides) under uncultured bacterium. RNAcentral's name for it is "bacterial SSU rRNA". It matches the Rfam family "Bacterial small subunit ribosomal RNA", at positions 28 to 507 of the family's 1533-position model. The record is from RNAcentral.
GACGAACGCUGGCGGCGUGCCUCAAACAUGCAAGUCGAGCGAGGGGAAUCCAAACCGCAAGGGGAGGAUGAACCUAGCGGCGAACGGGUGAGUAACACGUGGGCAACCUGCCCUUAAGACUGGGAUAACGGCUCGAAAGGGCCGCUAAUACCGGAUAAUGUCGUAAUGUCGCAUGACGUUGCGAAGAAAGGGGAAACCCGCUUUUGGAUGGACUCGCGUCCCAUCAGCUAGUUGGUAGGGUAAUGGCCUACCAAGGCGACGACGGGUAGCCGGUCUGAGAGGAUGAACGGCCACACUGGGACUGAGAUACGGCCCAGACUCCUACGGGAGGCAGCAGUUGGGAAUAUUAGGCAAUGGACGAAAGUCUGACCUAGCGACGCCGCGUGAGGGAAGAAGGCCUUGGGUCGUAAACCUCUGUCAUUGGGGACGAAGAAAGUGACGGUACCCAAGGAGGAAGCCCCUGCUAACUACGUG